UAAAAAAAAAAAUUUUUAUCUUUUUGCUGACACUGUGUUAAACUGAUUUAUCACGAAUAAGCGUCUAUAAAUAUCCAGUAUUUACAAAUCAUCAUCACGAAGAGACAGUUCUUAUGAUCACUGCAGUCAAGCAGUGUUGGUGACGGGUCUUGACAUGAAUAAUAAACGAUAGAUAUAAGUAUGGUUUAGGUUUAGGCAGUAUGGAAACAAUGUGAAUUUAUUUUUCCGAGUGCUUUUUAUUUAUAAUUUUGUCAAAACAAAGAAGAAUCCGAAUGUAAUAUCACGAUAAUAAAUUAUAAAUUUAUUGAAUUAUGAAAUAAAUUUGUGGUGUAUAUAGUUUGCUAGGAUAAUACUUACAGCAAAUAAUAAAACACAGGCGCAAAGCACGAGACUUUUCAUUCUGUAUAAUGUAUAUCCUUACUGUUGUGAGCAAAAUUAUUCAAAAUAACCGC
Molecule: long non-coding RNA, 452 nt
Organism: Solenopsis invicta (red fire ant)
Lineage: Eukaryota; Metazoa; Arthropoda; Insecta; Hymenoptera; Formicidae
Exons: 3
Source: RefSeq, a predicted model, not a curated record